Pongo abelii (Sumatran orangutan) is the source of this 100-nucleotide small nuclear RNA. The record is from Ensembl. Lineage: Eukaryota; Metazoa; Chordata; Mammalia; Primates; Hominidae.
CUUGCUCUGGUGGAAAAUAUACUAACAUUGGAAUGAUCCAGAGAUUCACAUGACACCUGCACAAGGAGGUACACAAUUUCAUGAAGCAUUUUAUAUAUAU